CAAUAGCGUAUAUUAAAGUUGUUGCGGUUAAAAAGCUCGUAGUUGGAUUUCUGUUGAGGACGACCGGUCCGCCCUCUGGGUGAGUAUCUGGCUCGGCCUUGGCAUCUUCUUGGAGAACGUAACUGCACUUGACUGUGUGGUGCGGUAUCCAGGACUUUACUUGAGGAAAUUAGAGUGUUUCAAGCAGGCGUACGCCUUGAAUACAUUAGCAUGGAAUAAUGGAAUAGGACGCUGGUUCUAUUUUGUUGGUUUUGAGAACCAGAGUAAUGAUUAAUAGGGACAGUUGGGGGCAUUCAUAUUUCAUUGUCAGAGGUGAAAUUCUUGGAUUUAUGAAAGAUGAACUUCUGCGAAAGCAUUUGCCAAGGAUGUUUUCAUUAAUCAAGAUCGAAAGUCAGAGGUUCGAAGACGAUUAGAU
Molecule: ribosomal RNA, 415 nt
Filed under: uncultured eukaryote
Lineage: Eukaryota
Description: bacterial SSU rRNA
Rfam family: Eukaryotic small subunit ribosomal RNA
Source: RNAcentral